GACGAACGCUGGCGGCGUGCUUAACACAUGCAAGUCGAACGGAAAGGCCCUGCUUUUGUGGGGUGCUCGAGUGGCGAACUGGUGAGUAACACGUGAGUAACCUGCCCCUGACUUUGGGAUAACUUCAUGCAACUGGAUCUAAUACCGGAUAGGAUCUCCUGCUGCAUGGUGGGGGUUGGAAAGUUUCGGCGGUUGGUGAUGGACUCGCGUCUUGUCAGCUUGUUGGUGGGGUAGUGUCUUACCAAGGCUUUGACGGGUAGCCGGGCUGCGCGGGGGAGCUGACCAGUCAGGCUGGAGAUGAGGCACAGCCUAGUAUGGUACGCAGGGGUGGAGAAUAGUGUACUAUAGGCGGAACCAUGACGUAGCAACGCAGUGCGGGGUAUGAGGGCAUUGGGUUUGGAUUCCGCUUUCGCUUGUCACGAGGCGUGAGUGACGGUAAUGGGUGAAUAAGCACCGGCUAACUCCGUG
RNAcentral lists this ribosomal RNA (468 nucleotides) under uncultured bacterium. RNAcentral's name for it is "partial 16S ribosomal RNA". It matches the Rfam family "Bacterial small subunit ribosomal RNA", at positions 28 to 507 of the family's 1533-position model. The record is from RNAcentral.